Molecule: ribosomal RNA, 2898 nt
Filed under: Clostridioides difficile
Lineage: Bacteria; Bacillati; Bacillota; Clostridia; Peptostreptococcales; Peptostreptococcaceae
Description: bacterial LSU rRNA
Rfam family: Bacterial large subunit ribosomal RNA
Source: RNAcentral
UCAAGUUAUUAAGGGUGCAGGGCGGAUGCCUUGGCACUAGGAGCCGAUGAAGGACGUGAUAAGCUGCGAUAAGCUUCGGGGGGAGUUGCACGUAAACUUUGAUCCGAAGAUUUCCGAAUGAGGAAACUCACUUAGAGUAAUGUCUAAGUAUCAUUAAGUGAAUACAUAGCUUAAUGAGGGGAACUCAGGGAACUGAAACAUCUAAGUACCUGAAGGAAGAGAAAGAAAUUCGAUUCCGUAAGUAGCGGCGAGCGAACGCGGAUUAGCCCAAACCAAUAAAGUUUUCUUUAUUGGGGUUGCGGACAUAUCAUAACGAAGAGGUAUCGUAAUUGAAGAGGUUUGGAAAGACCCACCACAGAAGGUAAUAGUCCUGUAUGUUAAACGAGAAGACUUUAGAUAUGAUCCAGAGUACCACGGGACACGUGAAACCCUGUGGGAAGCAGGAGGGACCACCCUCCAAGGCUAAAUACUACCUAGUGACCGAUAGCGUAUAGUACCGUGAGGGAAAGGUGAAAAGAACCCCGGGAGGGGAGUGAAAUAGAACCUGAAACCCUGCACUUACAAGCUGUGGAAGCACAUUUCUUGUGUGACCGCGUACUUUUUGUAGAACGGGCCAACGAGUUACGUUAAGUAGCAAGGUUAAGCACUUAAGGUGCGGAGCCGUAGCGAAAGCGAGUUUUAACUGAGCGUUCAGUUACUUGACGUAGACCCGAAACCGGGCGACCUACCCAUGAGCAGGAUGAAGCGAAAGUAAAAUUUCGUGGAGGUCCGAACCCACGAGCGUUGAAAAGCUCGGGGAUGACUUGUGGGUAGCGGUGAAAUUCCAAUCGAGCCCGGAGAUAGCUGGUUCUCCCCGAAAUAGCUUUAGGGCUAGCCUCAAGGUGAGAGAUACGGAGGUAGAGCACUGAAUGUCCUAGGGGGUAUUGCACCUACCGAAGACUAUCAAACUCCGAAUGCCGUCAUCUUAUACUUGGGAGUCAGACUGUGGGUGAUAAGAUUCAUAGUCGAAAGGGCAACAGCCCAGAUCGUCAGCUAAGGUCCCUAAAUGUAAGUUAAGUGGUAAAGGAUGUGGGAUUGCACAGACAACCAGGAUGUUGGCUUAGAAGCAGCCACUCAUUCAAAGAGUGCGUAAUAGCUCACUGGUCGAGUGAUCCUGCGCCGAAGAUUUCCGGGGCUAAAACUUACUACCGAAGCUACGGCAUCAGUAAUGAUGGGUAGGGGAGCUUCCCAUACGGGUUGAAGCAUGACCGUAAGGACAUGUGGACAGUAUGGGAGUGAGAAUGUUGGCAUGAGUAGCGAGAUGUGGGUGAGAAUCCCACAGGCCGUAAACCCAAGGUUUCCAGGGGAAGGUUCGUCCGCCCUGGGUUAGUCGGGACCUAAGCUGAGGCCGAAAGGCGUAGGUGAUGGACAACAGGUUGAUAUUCCUGUACUACCGAUAACCGUUUGAGAGAAGGGAUGACACAGUAGGAUAAGCUAAGCACACUGUUGGUUAUGUGUGCCCAAGCAUUGAGGCAGUCAAAGUAGGCAAAUCCGCUUUGAUAAUGCUGGGAUGUGAUGGGGAGCGAAAUUUAGUAGCGAAGUAGCUGAUUUCACACUGUCAAGAAAAGUCUCUAUCGAGGUUAAAGGUACCCGUACCGCAAACCGACACAGGUGGGUGAGGAGAGUAUCCUAAGGCCAGCGAGAGAACUGUUGUUAAGGAACUCGGCAAAAUGACCCCGUAACUUAGGGAUAAGGGGUGCCACCAUCAGGUGGCCGCAGAGAAUAGGCCCAAGCGACUGUUUACCAAAAACAUAGGUUUCUGCUAAGUCGCAAGACGAUGUAUAGGAGCUGACGCCUGCCCGGUGCUGGAAGGUUAAGGGGAUCUGUUAGAGCAAUCGAAGCAGUGAACUUAAGCCCCAGUAAACGGCGGCCGUAACUAUAACGGUCCUAAGGUAGCGAAAUUCCUUGUCGGGUAAGUUCCGACCCGCACGAAAGGCGUAACGAUUUGGGCACUGUCUCAACAACAGACUCGGUGAAAUUGUAAUUCCGGUGAAGAUGCCGGAUACCUGCGACAGGACGGAAAGACCCCAUGGAGCUUUACUGUAGCUUGACAUUGGGUCUUGGUACUACAUGUACAGGAUAGGUGGGAGGCUUUGAAACCAGGACGCCAGUUUUGGCGGAGCCAUCCUUGGGAUACCACCCUUGUAGUACUGGGACUCUAACCAUAGGCCAUGAAUCUGGUCUUGGGACACUGUCAGGUGGGCAGUUUGACUGGGGCGGUCGCCUCCCAAAAGGUAACGGAGGCGCUCAAAGGUUCUCUCAGUACGGUCGGAAAUCGUACGUAGAGUGUAAAGGCAAAAGAGAGCUUGAUUGCAAGACAUACAGGUCGAGCAAGGAUGAAAAUCGGACUUAGUGAUCCGGUGGUUCUGCGUGGAAGGGCCAUCGCUCAACGGAUAAAAGCUACCCUGGGGAUAACAGGCUUAUCUCCCCCAAGAGUCCACAUCGACGGGGAGGUUUGGCACCUCGAUGUCGGCUCAUCACAUCCUGGGGCUGUAGUAGGUCCCAAGGGUUGGGCUGUUCGCCCAUUAAAGUGGUACGCGAGCUGGGUUCAGAACGUCGUGAGACAGUUCGGUCCCUAUCCGUCGCAGGCGUAGGAAAUUUGAGAAGACCUGUCCUUAGUACGAGAGGACCGGGAUGGACGUACCUCUGGUGUACCAGUUGUCCUGCCAAGGGCAUGGCUGGGUAGCUAUGUACGGAAUGGAUAAGCGCUGAAAGCAUCUAAGCGCGAAGCCAACUUCAAGAUAAGAUUUCCCACCGCAAGGGUAAGACCCCAGAAAGACUAUCUGGUUGAUAGGUCGAAGGUGUAAGUGCAGCAAUGUAUUUAGCUUAUCGAUACUAAUAGGUCGAGGACUUGACCAA